AAGUCCGUAGCUCAGUUGGCUAGAGCAGCAAACUGUUAAUUUGAAGGUCGCGGGUUCAAACCCCGCCGGACGCU
Molecule: transfer RNA, 74 nt
Filed under: Protostelium mycophagum
Lineage: Eukaryota; Evosea; Variosea; Protosteliida; Protosteliaceae
Description: tRNA-Asn
Rfam family: tRNA
About the family: Transfer RNA (tRNA) molecules are approximately 80 nucleotides in length. Their secondary structure includes four short double-helical elements and three loops (D, anti-codon, and T loops).
Source: RNAcentral